Drosophila albomicans is the source of this 503-nucleotide long non-coding RNA. RefSeq lists it as uncharacterized. NCBI's taxonomy places the organism in Eukaryota, Metazoa, Arthropoda, Insecta, Diptera, Drosophilidae. The record is from RefSeq and is a predicted model, not a curated record. The transcript has 3 exons.
UGUAAUAAAUUGCCACUGACGAAAUAGUCAGUCUUAUUCUGUUCUCCAAACAGCACAGUGCUUUUAUUUGGUCAUGCACCAGUACCGCAGCAAGCUGAGGCUAGGCGGCCCAUAUGUAACCCAGCUACUCUAGGCGAUACUGGGGCUGCUGAGGGUGAACCUCGUGGAUCGGUGCAUGGACGACGAUUAAUUACCGAAAUUGUGCGAUCUCGUCCCAGUGGUCUGCUUACUAAAAUGGGUACUACAGGCAAACCAAUCAAAUUACUUCAAAUUUCCCAAUUGGUCGCUUUAUCAGUACCGUGUUGAUUUCUCGCCCGAUGUUGAUAAUACAUUCCUACGUCAGUCGUUCAGGAGAGAAUAUAAGCAUUAAAAUAAGGAGCGUAGGUAUUGUUGAGGCAAUGGAUCCUCAGCAGUUACAAGUUCUUCUUAACUUGAUUUUGCGUCGUGCUAUGGAAGGCCUGCAACUUCAAAUAGUGUCUCGCAAUUAUUUCGACCCGCAAUAA